GAUGAACGCUAGCGGCAGGCUUAAUACAUGCAAGUCGUGGGGCAGCAUGAGUAGCAAUACUUGAUGGCGACCGGCAAACGGGUGAGGAACACGUACACAACCUUCCUUCAAGCGGGGAAUAGCCCAGAGAAAUUUGGAUUAAUACCCCAUAAUAUAUUUGAUAAGGCAUCUUAUUAAUAUUAAAGCUUCGGCACUUGAUGAUGGGUGUGCGGCUGAUUAGAUAGUUGGCGGGUAACGGCCCACCAAGUCUACGAUCAGUAGCUGAUGUGAGAGCAUGAUCAGCCACACGGGCACUGAGACACGGGCCCGACUCCUACGGGAGGCAGCAGUAAGGAUAUUGGACAAUGGACGAAAGUCUGAUCCAGCCAUGCCGCGUGAAGGAUUAAGGUCCUCUGGAUUGU
This 401-nucleotide ribosomal RNA is filed under the name uncultured bacterium. Its description in RNAcentral is "bacterial SSU rRNA". It matches the Rfam family "Bacterial small subunit ribosomal RNA", at positions 28 to 426 of the family's 1533-position model. The record is from RNAcentral.